CCGGGAAAUCCGCGGCCGGCGGUUCGGGGACGGAACGGAGCUGCCGGAAGGGCGGUACGCGCAGCAGCCACUUCCGCUUCCGCCGCGCCGGAUCCUGCCGUACGGUCAUGAGUCGUCUCAAGUUUUUGGAUAUUGGUAUCAACUUAACAGAUCCUAUGUUCAGAGGAGUUUAUAGAGGGGUUCAAAAGCAUCAAGAUGAUUUACAGGAUGUAAUAGAGAGAGCUGUCCAGAUUGGUGUUAAAAAGUUUAUAAUUACAGGUGGAAAUCUACAAGACAGUAAAGAGGCACUGCAUUUGGCACAAACAAAUGCUAUAUUUUUCAGUACAGUUGGAUGCCAUCCCACAAGAUGCAGUGAAUUUGAAAAGAAUAAUCCUGAUCACUACUUAGCAGAGUUGCUAAAUCUUGCUGAAAACAAUAAAGGGAAAGUUGUAGCAAUAGGGGAAUGUGGACUCGACUUUGAUCGACUACAGUUUUGUUCAAGAGAUACUCAGCUCAAAUAUUUUGAAAAACAGUUUGAACUGUCAGAACAAACAAAAUUACCAAUGUUUCUUCACUGUCGGAACUCUCAUGAUGCAUUUUUGGACAUAAUGAAAAGAAACAGAGAUCGGUGUGUAGGUGGAGUAGUACAUUCAUUUGAUGGUACCAAGGAAGCAGCAGCUGCUUUGAUUGAUUUGGAUCUGUACCUGGGAUUUAAUGGUUGCUCACUGAAAACUGAGGCUAAUUUGGAAGUUUUGAAGUCAAUACCUAGUGAAAAGAUAAUGAUUGAGACUGAUGCACCUUGGUGUGGAGUCAAAAGUACACAUGCUGGAUCAAAAUAUAUAAAAACUUCAUUUCCUACCAAAAAGAAGUGGGAAAAAGGGCACUGUUUGAAAGACAGAAAUGAACCCUGCCAUAUAAUCUCCCUAGCCUAACACUCAACUCUGAGAACACUGCAUUAAAGCAUCUGGUCCCAAGAGGAUUCUGCAGCUACAUGCCAAAGUAACAUCACCGCAGCAGGAAUAAAGCAGCAACAGAUGGCUAAUACAGAAAAGCCUGGUAAGGAUCUCACCAUCACCCUCCCUCAGCAACUGUUCAAAAACAGAAGCCUACUAAAAAUUUGUAACAAUUACCUCAUCAACAAAAUUUACCAAGUUUCGAUUACUAAAAAAAAAUUAUUUUACACAUAAAUGCUUCUCACUCUGCUGAUGCAAGUGAAGAUAGAGGGUGAAAUAUAAGAUGUUCUUAACACUACAUUCAUAUUCAACAAAGACACUGAUUUUCAGAAGUCUCUUGGAAAAGUCCCAUCAC
RNA transcript from Manis javanica (Malayan pangolin), 1287 nucleotides. It is a transcript of the gene named TatD DNase domain containing 1, with no coding region annotated. The record is from RefSeq and is a predicted model, not a curated record. NCBI's taxonomy places the organism in Eukaryota, Metazoa, Chordata, Mammalia, Pholidota, Manidae.